GUUAGUCACGAGUCGUUGAUUCGUACACUUGUGCCUGUGCCUUAACUUGACACUUUGCAUUAUCAACGAUCUCGAUAAUUUCUCACCUGACUUUCGUACCGCGUUGGAAAAAUCGAACGAGUACGAUAUCCUGCGUUUAUUUCGGACCCUCUCUCGACCAACAAGAUAUUGGCACGGCGGCUGGUUUUUAGCACGACAUGGCACAACGCGUUCGAUGGUGUGAUGAUGCUAGGUCAUAACGCGCAACGAGGAAAUGGCAUAAAUUGGAUGAGGGUGAAGCACCGAGCGCUUCUCUCGCCUCUCUCUCCCUCUCUCUCUCGGUGGCUGGUAAAUAAUUGGAGUGCUUUCGAAACAACCCCUGAGGCAAUCCGUGCAUGCAAAAAUUGCGAUGUCGAAACGAUUGUUACUGACAUGCGCGGGUCCUGAACGAGCAUCGAUAGAAUUACAAGGAGCAUUAUAUACGGUGUAGAAAAAUGUAUACGAUCGAUUUUGUUUUCUUGGACCUUUUAAAAUUUUUUUUUUUUUUUUUAUCAAACGUAAAAUUUCAUAGCUAGAAAUUUGUAAUGAAAUAAUAGUAAUAGUAAUAAUGAAAAAAAAAAAAAAAGAAAAAAAUUAUAAUAAUAAUUCAUUUCGUUGCGAUUACAUUCAAUUACGCAUACGCAUACGCACAUGUGUACACACAUUUUUCUAGCCAAAGUGCCGAUUUUCACGCACAUAAUACAUGAACAUCGCGACUAUUACGACGAUCAGCUUAAUCGUAGCUGCAUUAACUUUUUGGUACGUAAAAUUUCAAAUCGACACUACAAUAACGCCUCCUAUUUUGUACAAGAUUAUUUCAGGGUCGAAACGAUGAGUCGUUAUUGUAUCGGGUAUCUCAUUUUUAAGGCAUUGUUAUGGCCGUGUACCUAUAAUAUACAUAUAUAGGCAUAUACGCAUACAUAUUACACAAUAAAUUAGUCGCGUUUCUGUCUGUAUUUUUUUUUUUUUUCUUUUUUUUUUUUGUUUU
Molecule: unclassified non-coding RNA, 1006 nt
Filed under: Neodiprion pinetum (white pine sawfly)
Lineage: Eukaryota; Metazoa; Arthropoda; Insecta; Hymenoptera; Diprionidae
Description: platelet-derived growth factor receptor alpha-like, transcript variant X2
Source: RNAcentral